UACGGGGGGAGCAAGCGUUGUUCGGAUUUACUGGGCGUAAAGGGCGCGUAGGCGGUCAGCACAAGUCAGUUGUGAAAUCUCCGGGCUUAACUCGGAAAGGUCAACUGAUACUGUGCGACUAGAGUGCAGAAGGGGCAACUGGAAUUCUCGGUGUAGCGGUGAAAUGCGUAGAUAUCAGGAGGAACACCGAUGGCGAAGGCAGGUCUCUGGGCCACUACUGACGCUGAGAAGCGAAAGCAUGGGGAGCGAACAGG
Molecule: ribosomal RNA, 254 nt
Filed under: uncultured bacterium
Lineage: Bacteria
Description: partial 16S ribosomal RNA
Rfam family: Bacterial small subunit ribosomal RNA
Source: RNAcentral